This 468-nucleotide ribosomal RNA is filed under the name uncultured bacterium. RNAcentral describes it as "partial 16S ribosomal RNA". It matches the Rfam family "Bacterial small subunit ribosomal RNA", at positions 28 to 507 of the family's 1533-position model. The record is from RNAcentral.
GACGAACGCUGGCGGCGUGCUUAACACAUGCAAGUAGAACGGAAAGGCACUGCUUUUGUGGGGUGCUCGAGUGGCGAACGAAUGAGUAACACGUGAGUUACCUGCCCUUGACUUUGGGAUAACUUCAGGAAACUGGGGCUAAUACCGGAUAGGAGCUCCUGCUGCAUGGUGGGGGUUGGAAAGUUUCGGCGGUUGGGGAUGGACUCGCGGCUUAUCAGAGUGUUGGUGGGGUAGUGGCUUACCAAGGCUUUGACGGGUAGCUGGCCUGAGAGGGUGACCGGCCACAUUGGGACUGAUGUACGGCCCAGACUCCUACGGGAGGCAGCAGUGGGGAAUAUUGCACAAUGGGCGGAAGCCUGAUGCAGCAACGCCGCGUGCGGGAUGACGGCCUUCGGGUUGUAAACCGCUUUCGCCUGUGACGAAGCGUGAGUGACGGUAAUGGGUAAAGAAGCACCGGCUAACUACGUG